ACGGGAGGCAGCAGUGGGGAAUAUUGGGCAAUGGGCGAAAGCCUGACCCAGCAACGCCGCGUGAAGGAAGAAGGCCUUCGGGUUGUAAACUUCUUUUAUGUGGGAAGAUAAUGACGGUACCACAUGAAUAAGCCACGGCUAACUACGUGCCAGCAGCCGCGGUAAUACGUAGGUGGCGAGCGUUGUCCGGAUUUACUGGGUGUAAAGGGCGCGUAGGCGGGAUGGCAAGUCAGAUGUGAAAUCCACGGGCUUAACUCGUGAACUGCAUUUGAAACUGUCGUUCUUGAGUAUCGGAGAGGCAAGCGGAAUUCCUAGUGUAGCGGUGAAAUGCGUAGAUAUUAGGAGGAACACCAGUGGCGAAGGCGGCUUGCUGGACGACAACUGACGCUGAGGCGCGAAAGCGUGGGGAGCAAACAGGAUUAGAUACCCUGGUA
Molecule: ribosomal RNA, 434 nt
Filed under: uncultured Clostridium sp.
Lineage: Bacteria; Bacillati; Bacillota; Clostridia; Eubacteriales; Clostridiaceae
Description: partial 16S ribosomal RNA
Rfam family: Bacterial small subunit ribosomal RNA
Source: RNAcentral